GACUGAACUUUGAACAGUUUUUUAUAAGAUGAACUGGUGUUACACAGCGUGUGUCAUUGCUCUGUUGAAAUGAAAGCUGAUGAUGGACUUACAAAAUGUGAUAAUUCUUCUACUGUUGUCUUGCACCACUGUGUUUACAGUACUGCAUGGACAGAAAGUUGUCACUGAUCUUAAGGUUACUGGGUACCAGGGUCAUGAUGUCACACUGUUGUGCCAAUAUAUCAAUGGAAACACAGAAGACAAAAUACUACAAAUGCAGUGAACGUGGCAGAAUGAGUCCAGUUAAUAUGAAAUCAUGGUCUUUAGCACAGACCAUGGCCUUUCUCUGCAUGACACAUUCCUGAAAGACAGAGUCAGCUUCAGAAAGAGCUCACCGCCGAUCUAUGAGGCCUCCAUCAUCAUCAAAGAUGUGAAGAUGAGUGAUCAGGGAGUUUACAGCUGUGCCUACACAACCUUCCCUAGCGGCAGUCAUACAGGACAAACCACUCUUACAGUGUUAGAAGACAGUCCUCCUGUUCUGUCCACCGCUGAGGCUGUAAGGAUUGUGACUGCUGUAAUGCUCAUCACUAUGAUACUAACUGUUGUGGGGUAUUUAUUCCUGCGCAACAGACGAAGAGCAGGCAGCAAUUUCACUUAUUAUACAACUCAGAGCCCCAGUGACCUGCAGGAUGUCACCUAUUCUGAUGUCACAAUACUGAAACCAGGCAAAGCUAACAGAAGCACCUCGUCAUCGGGGGACAUUGAAUACUCUGCGGUUUCCUUCAGUGGUCGGUCAGGAUCAGCGCCCCUGCGAGCCUCAGACUGCUUUGGGUUUCCACACAGCAGAGCAUGAAACUCUGUAUGCACAGGUGAAAAAAGACUAAUUUUAAGUACAAAUGUCACAUCUACUAAAGGUUUCUAGGUGUUUGAACAGUAGAGACAAUAAAGGGCUGAUCACAACAAGGACGACA
Cyprinus carpio (common carp) is the source of this 950-nucleotide long non-coding RNA. The record is from Ensembl. Lineage: Eukaryota; Metazoa; Chordata; Actinopteri; Cypriniformes; Cyprinidae.